RNAcentral lists this long non-coding RNA (516 nucleotides) under Nicotiana benthamiana. RNAcentral describes it as "long non-coding RNA (NBEN_LNC008340)". The record is from RNAcentral. Lineage: Eukaryota; Viridiplantae; Streptophyta; Magnoliopsida; Solanales; Solanaceae.
CGACAUCCAUCACUAGGAGUCUAUGAAGAGUCGAAAGGGUCUCUCCCGGAAUAACCUUGCAGUCCUUACACAUACCCCUAUCGCUCCUUCUGAGGAGGAGGUAAUCAAUCUGAGUACUUGCCGCCAAACUCUUGAAAGUGACCAAAUUCUCCUCCCUCUUCUAAAAUGUCGAGUUCGCAAUCAGAAGCUCGGAAGCCCUGGCGAAAUCAAGCAGUGACGUGCCUCCUCCGUUCCUAACCCCAAAGCCGAAGCCACCGUGCACCUCACCAUAACCAACAACAUCAAAUAUUUAAAAUGACCUGUAUUUUUGAACCAAGAUUAAAGAGAAUUAUUGGGAGGAAGAAGGGGAGACUUUCUUUUUUGAUAAGGAGGAAGAAGUAGAGACUUGUAUAGUUUGUUUAGAUUUUACUCCUUGAUUAAUACAUAUAUCUUUUUAGAAUAAAUAUUAAUUACUUCUCAUGAGUAUAAUUGCCUAUUCCAAUCACUCAAUUAUUUUGAGUCGUCUCUCGAAUAACU